UCUACUGGCCAUACCACCGUGAACGCGCCCAAUCUCGUCUGAUCUCGGAAGGUAAGCAGAGGUCAGGCCUGGUUAGAACUUGGAUGGGAGACCGCCUGGGAAUACUGGGCUUAAAAAAA
This is a ribosomal RNA of Cavia aperea (Brazilian guinea pig), 119 nucleotides long. The record is from Ensembl. NCBI's taxonomy places the organism in Eukaryota, Metazoa, Chordata, Mammalia, Rodentia, Caviidae.